AUGUAUCAUGAGGUAAAAGGAGAAGGUCAAAAGAGAAGGUUAGAGAGAAUGUUGCUAGCAUUCCCCUUCUUCACGCAGAGGCCACACCAGUUAUCCAAUAUCAGCUUUGAUAAAAUUAAGGAUUGUGAUUUACAUGACGGUGAUUGGGGAAAAGUCGGCUCUGUCGUCAACUGGAAUUAUAUCCACAAUGGGAAAGGUAAGGUUGCUAAGGUGGUAUUUGAAGCCAUAGACGAUGAAUAGAACUCAAUCACUCUGAGAGUUGUAGAAGGAGAUCUUCUGGAGCAUUACAAGAGCUUCAAGAUCACAAUUCAAGCAACUCCAAAAGGGGAGGGCAGCGUAGUGCAUUGGACUUUUGAAUAUGAAAAGGUGCAUGGCGAUGUCACAGACCCACAUACGCUGCUCCAGUUGGCAGUUGAUCUCACUACAGAUAUUAGUGCCUUACUGCCUAAGAUUGCAUAAAACGCCUAAGGCUCCCAAUCUGUGUGUUGUUGGGUGUUACUCUAUCUGAAAUGCACACGUAUAAAUAAGUGAUUUGGAGCCAUCAUCAUAUUGCAAUUCGUGUUUCCUAUCAAUCAUAUGUUUGUAUGUUAUAAUUGGGGUUAUGCCCUAAUUACUGGCUUUUAUAUAUAUGUACGUCCUCCUAUCAAAUUAUUAUUAUUAAUAAAUGAAUGAUAUGUG
Molecule: non-coding RNA, 678 nt
Organism: Prunus mume (Japanese apricot)
Lineage: Eukaryota; Viridiplantae; Streptophyta; Magnoliopsida; Rosales; Rosaceae
Source: RefSeq, a predicted model, not a curated record